RNAcentral lists this ribosomal RNA (389 nucleotides) under Embryophyta sp. RNAcentral describes it as "partial small subunit ribosomal RNA". It matches the Rfam family "Eukaryotic small subunit ribosomal RNA", at positions 582 to 975 of the family's 1831-position model. Lineage: Eukaryota; Viridiplantae; Streptophyta. The record is from RNAcentral.
AUUCCAGCUCCAAUAGCGUAUAUUUAAGUUGUUGCAGUUAAAAAGCUCGUAGUUGGACCUUGGGACGUCACGGUCGGUCCGCCUUCUUGGUGUGCACUGGCCCUCACGUCCCUUCUGCCGGCGGCGUGUUCCUGGCCUUAAUUGGCUGGGUCGCGGUUCCGGCGCCGUUACUUUGAAAAAAUUAGAGUGCUCAAAGCAAGCCUACGCUCUGAAUACAUUAGCAUGGAAUAACGCGAUAGGAGUCUGGUCCUGUUCCGUUGGCCUUCGGGACCGGAGUAAUGAUUAAUAGGGACUGUCGGGGGCAUUCGUAUUUCAUUGUCAGAGGUGAAAUUCUUGGAUUUAUGGAAGACGAACCACUGCGAAAGCAUUUGCCAAGGAUGUUUUCAUCG